UUGCUUCAGCAGCACAUAUACUAAAACUGGAACAAUACAGAGAAGAUUAGCACGGCCUCUGCUCAAGGGUGACAUGCAAAUUCAUGAAUCAUUUCAUAUGUUU
Molecule: small nuclear RNA, 103 nt
Organism: Otolemur garnettii (small-eared galago)
Lineage: Eukaryota; Metazoa; Chordata; Mammalia; Primates; Galagidae
Source: Ensembl